This 304-nucleotide unclassified non-coding RNA is filed under the name Hevea brasiliensis (rubber tree). Lineage: Eukaryota; Viridiplantae; Streptophyta; Magnoliopsida; Malpighiales; Euphorbiaceae. The record is from RNAcentral.
CCAACCAAGUACAUGCGACACACAUCACGGUCGUAGUACUUGCGAUUCACUUCCCUGACGUCACCGUUUCGAUUCGCUCCCAUGAGCACAUCCAGCUGUUUCCUCAUCGCGUCCAUCUCUCCUGCCUCCCGAUUUCUCUAGCUUCCCGAGCUCUAACUCUUCAACAGCACACACACACCCCUACUCUUCACCAAGGGUUUUAUUCCAAGGUUUUUUUUGGGGACAAAAACUAAAAAACCCUUGGUGACUUAGCUAGAUGACACUGUUAGCCCGUGUUUAUAUGCUUUCAUAUUAAACAUAGGCG